RNAcentral lists this ribosomal RNA (504 nucleotides) under uncultured bacterium. RNAcentral's name for it is "partial 16S ribosomal RNA". It matches the Rfam family "Bacterial small subunit ribosomal RNA", at positions 30 to 523 of the family's 1533-position model. The record is from RNAcentral.
AUUGAACGCUGGCGGAAUGCUUUACACAUGCAAGUCGAACGGCAGCACGGAGAGCUUGCUCUCUGGUGGCGAGUGGCGAACGGGUGAGUAAUAUAUCGGAACGUGUCCAAUAAUGGGGGAUAACGAGUCGAAAGAUUCGCUAAUACCGCAUACGCCCUACGGGGGAAAGCAGGGGAUCGUAAGACCUUGCGUUAAUGGAGCGGCCGAUAUCUGAUUAGCUUGUUGGUGAGGUAAAGGCUCACCAAGGCGACGAUCAGUAGCUGGUUUGAGAGAACGACCAGCCACACUGGAACUGAGACACGGUCCAGACUCCGACGGGAGGCAGCAGUGGGGAAUUUUGGACAAUGGGGGCAACCCUGAUCCAGCCAUUCCGCGUGAGUGAAGAAGGCCUUCGGGUUGUAAAGCUCUUUCGCAAGGGAAGAAAACUUAUGAUCAAAUAAAUCAUGAGGUUGACGGUACCUUGAUAAGAAGCACCGGCUAACUACGUGCCAGCCGCCGCGGUAA